AUUGAACGCUGGCGGCAUGCCUUACACAUGCAAGUCGAACGGCAACAGGUUAAGCUGACGAGUGGCGAACGGGUGAGUAAUGUAUCGGAACGUGCCCAGUCGUGGGGGAUAACUGCUCGAAAGAGCAGCUAAUACCGCAUACGACCUGAGGGUGAAAGCGGGGGAUCGCAAGACCUCGCGCGAUUGGAGCGGCCGAUAUCAGAUUAGGUAGUUGGUGAGGUAAAGGCUCACCAAGCCGACGAUCUGAAGCUGGUCUGAGAGGACGACCAGCCACACUGGGACUGAGACACGGCCCAGACUCCUACGGGAGGCAGCAGUGGGGAAUUUUGGACAAUGGGCGCAAGCCUGAUCCAGCCAUGCCGCGUGCGGGAAGAAGGCCUUCGGGUUGUAAACCGCUUUUGUCAGGGAAGAAAAGGUUCUGGCUAAUACCUGGGACUCAUGACGGUACCUGAAGAAUAAGCACCGGCUAACUACGUG
This 477-nucleotide ribosomal RNA is filed under the name uncultured bacterium. RNAcentral describes it as "partial 16S ribosomal RNA". It matches the Rfam family "Bacterial small subunit ribosomal RNA", at positions 30 to 507 of the family's 1533-position model. The record is from RNAcentral.